Molecule: transfer RNA, 82 nt
Filed under: Caerostris darwini
Lineage: Eukaryota; Metazoa; Arthropoda; Arachnida; Araneae; Araneidae
Description: tRNA-Ser
Rfam family: tRNA
About the family: Transfer RNA (tRNA) molecules are approximately 80 nucleotides in length. Their secondary structure includes four short double-helical elements and three loops (D, anti-codon, and T loops). Further hydrogen bonds mediate the characteristic L-shaped molecular structure. tRNAs have two regions of fundamental functional importance: the anti-codon, which is responsible for specific mRNA codon recognition, and the 3' end, to which the tRNAs corresponding amino acid is attached (by aminoacyl-tRNA synthetases). tRNAs cope with the degeneracy of the genetic code in two manners: having more than one tRNA (with a specific anti-codon) for a particular amino acid; and 'wobble' base-pairing, i.e. permitting non-standard base-pairing at the 3rd anti-codon position.
Source: RNAcentral
GCAGUCGUGCCCGAGUGGUUAAGGCGAUGGACUUGAAAUCCAUUGGGGUUUCCCCGCUCAGGUUCGAAUCCUGCCGUCUGCG